UGUGGCUCAGUGAUAGAGCACUUGCCUUGCAUGUGUGAGGCACUGGGUUCAAUUCUCAGCA
This 61-nucleotide transfer RNA is filed under the name Urocitellus parryii (Arctic ground squirrel). RNAcentral describes it as "Spermophilus parryii (Arctic ground squirrel) tRNA". It matches the Rfam family "tRNA", at positions 6 to 65 of the family's 71-position model. From Rfam's summary of the family: Transfer RNA (tRNA) molecules are approximately 80 nucleotides in length. Their secondary structure includes four short double-helical elements and three loops (D, anti-codon, and T loops). RNAcentral also lists the same sequence under 2 other names. Lineage: Eukaryota; Metazoa; Chordata; Mammalia; Rodentia; Sciuridae. The record is from Rfam by way of RNAcentral.